Molecule: transfer RNA, 64 nt
Filed under: Nonarthra nigripennis
Lineage: Eukaryota; Metazoa; Arthropoda; Insecta; Coleoptera; Chrysomelidae
Description: tRNA-Tyr
Source: RNAcentral
GGUAAAAUGGCUGAAAAUAGGCAAUAAACUGUAAAUUUAUUUAUGAAUGAAAUUUCUUUUACCA